UACCGAGGGGGCAAGCGUUGUUCGGAAUUACUGGGCGUAAAGGGCGCGUAGGCGGCCUGUUAAGUCGAACGUGAAAUCCCCGGGCUCAACCCGGGAACUGCGUCCGAUACUGGCAGGCUUGAAUUCGGGAGAGGGAUGCGGAAUUCCAGGUGUAGCGGUGAAAUGCGUAGAUAUCUGGAGGAACACCGGUGGCGAAGGCGGCAUCCUGGACCGAGAUUGACGCUGAGGCGCGAAAGCCAGGGGAGCAAACGGG
RNAcentral lists this ribosomal RNA (253 nucleotides) under uncultured bacterium. RNAcentral's name for it is "partial 16S ribosomal RNA". It matches the Rfam family "Bacterial small subunit ribosomal RNA", at positions 524 to 776 of the family's 1533-position model. The record is from RNAcentral.